UUUUUUUUUUUUUUUUUUUUUUUUUUUUUUAAGGUGAGAGGACAGGAAAUGCUGAUAGGAAGGGGGAAAAAUGUGCUUUAGAGAGUAAUUUUAUUCAGACGGAGCCUCUUGAUCUGAAGGGGAAAGGCGGUGCUAUAAGCAAGGAAAAUAUGAAAUUGGUAAAGUGUGGCCGCCCUUGAUGUGCGCCGAUGGGGUGAUCAGCUCCCCUUAUCAUGCGGUCCCACCCACCUCCCCGUAGCUCAACUCCUCCUAUAUCCCCGGAACCCUGGAAAACGGGGCAGGAAGCCAGUCUGGAGGGCGCUCUGCUCCUGCACCUGAAAGAAUUCCUGGGCUGCAGGCGUGUUGCUGAAUCCAUCAGAGCGGACAGUUUGUCGGAAUAAAUAGCAAUGGUUUUGUGCCCACCAUUCCCUUCUCAAAAUUCAUGAAAACCCAAAUGCUCCCACCAUUUCACUGCAACUUUGCAUAGUGGCAAUGGCUGUCAUUUCUCUCUGCUCUCUUUAAGGGGGAGGAAGGGCCAGUCAUGGGUCAUUACAUAAAUGGCACAGCACGCCUUCGCCCAGCUCUAAAUCUGGAAGGGGGUUCUGAGAAGUACCUGACAUGAAUCUUUGCCCCUACUAAGGGGACAGUGUACCCAUCCUUGGCUUCCAGGAAAUGUUCUCCAAAGUGAAAUGUACACUCAACUAGGUACCCAAGGCGAUGCUGGGAAACUUUGUUUUUUAGAAUCUGCCCUUAGCUUUGAUUUCCCCAGGUACCGGAAGCUUUUUGCCUGGUGAGUCCGUUCUUCCUCCACAGUAUCAUUUUUAAUUCAUAAAAUACACUUGCUAAGCCAUAGAGAGGGUUUACAGAAUCAGCAAUAGCUAUGAGGCAAAAAAUAAAUAAAGUCCACCAGCCUCGUUAGGAUGUGGUGCCAAUCAACAGAAGAAAUAAGUCCAAAUAUGUAUAUAAUUAGAUACAUGUUUCCAGCUCCAUCAUGCACACCCUCAAUAUGCAAAUGCAUAUUCAUAAACAUUCCUGCUCUUAUAAAUGCCGUGCGUAUCUGAACUGGUUAUCUAACCUGAUGGGCAUCGCGUCCUUUGAUUGUAUUCAUAUUUUAAAAUAUUAUACCCCUGCUACAUGCAAGGCAUUGAUGUACAUUCGUGCGUUUUAUUCUCGUGAUAUCUUUUAAAGAAAUAGGAUCAUCCCCAUUUUUCCGAUGACAAAGAUAAGGUUGAAAAGAGCUGCCAUCAUUUGCUCAAAAAAGCAUAUAGCUCAGAAGUGGCAAGUUCUCAGCUCAUGCCAUUUUUAAUAGGUCACACAAGGAUUUGCAUGUCAUUUAUUGUACAUGUUGGGAAUUAUGACGAGAUGUGCAACUAUAAAGAAAGAAUUUACUCCCAGAUAUUAUAAAGUCAAGGACCAGCAGAGUUCCAGAAGAAAAAAAUUUCCAUCUUUUAUGUUUUAUGAGGUUCCCAGAGGAAAGACGUUUGAACCUAAGGUUCUUGUGCUGUUAAACCAGCAAUCUCAAAUGGAUGCAAGAGUCAGGUAACAUGAAUCAAAUGGAGGUGAGGAGAAAGGAGUGGUGUGGACUGUGGUAAACUCCAGGGCAUGGGUCCUACCUCAAAGAGGGAAAGCUGUUUGGCUCCGGCUGACUGUGGCCGUGCAGGAACAGGGCUCAGCAGUACCACAUCACUUGCGUCUCCUACCUUUUUUUUUUCCAAAGGCAAUUCUCCGUAUGAACUUUUUGAAAUUUUUCCAUGUCUUUAUGACUUAUAAAUAUUGGCAAAUAUAAUGCACUCCUUUUCAAAAUACUAGCAAUUCAAACAAAAUGCAUUUGUGGGCAGCGUGUAACCUCGGUCCUCUCGUUUGCAGUGUCUGUGAUAGGGCUUUGCUCCUUCUGGUGCCUACUGACUUCGACGGACUCAUCCGGCUGGCCUUGACUCCUUUCUGGGGCUCGAGGGGGAGUAUCUCUUAGUGCCAAUUACUGGACUAGAAGAGCACGGGGCCUCUGCCCUGGAGUGGGAGAUUCCACGCUGUGGCAGGGAGAGCGUCACCCACCCUCUGUGGGUUGGGGCAACUUCACUGGUCCAGGUUGGACUGGAUUAGUUAAGUGUUUCCUUCAUGCUCUAAAGUCCUAGACUAGGGCUAUUUGUGUUUUAAUGGCAUCGGUGUGAUAAGAACUGCACCCAUGUCCCCUUCUCUGCAAACGCCCCGAAGGAGCAGAACUUUCUGAACCUUACAUGCCACUGUGACCCGGGGCUGGCCAUGGUCACGUCGGCACCAGCCCCCUCUCUCAGGUGCAUUUCCCUUCAUCUGCGUUGGAGUUCCUUCUUUCUCUUCCUUCGAAGUUCCCCUCCAAACUCGUUUCCACCUUUGAGCCUCGACGCCGUGGUUUCCGCCUGGAAUGACCUUCCAGCCAAUCUUUCUUGGGCUGACUCAUUUCUCAUGUCUGAGCUCAGACGUCACCUUCUCCGAGUGGCCUCCCUGACCCCUGGACUAUAGCAAUGUGACCCCCGCUCCCAGGCUAGGGGUCGAAUCGGAGCUGUAGCCACCGCCUACGCCAGAGCCACAGCAAUGCGGGAUCCGAGCCGCGUCUGCAACCUACACCACAACUCACGGCAAAGCCGGAUCCUUACCCCACUGAGCGAGGCCAGAGAUCGAACCCGAAACCUCAUGGUUCCUAGCCGGAUUCGUUAACCACUGCGCCACAACGGGAACUCCCAAACCACCUCAAUUCAAAUCCCAGCACUGCUUCUUCUGUGCUCUGUGACAGUGGGCAGGUCACCUCACCUCUCCAUCCCUCAGUUUCCUCGUCCGUAAAAAGGGAAAUUGGGAAUCGUUAUAAUAACAGUACCUCAUAGGGGUGCUAUGAGAAUUAAGUAUUUUAAAAAUGACUGUUGGUAAAGCGCUUAGAAGAAAUAUUGGUAACGUGUUUGGAACAUGUAUUAGGACCAAUAGUGGCUGUUAUUAUUAUUAAUUUCAUCAUCCUCGCCUCCCACAUCUUGAAUAAGUUCCAGGUGAGAAUCGAUGCUGGCUCUCUCCUUAAGCUCUGUGUCCGCCUUGCACAGCACAGAGUAACUGCUCAGGAAAUACGGAUAGAAUACAGGUAUGAUGGAAAGGAAACUUUGAAAAGUCAGUCCAAUAGACUACGCUUAGCACUGCACAGUUCAUUUCUUCAGCGUCCCUCACUGUCUUUGUGUAUCCUAUCUGUGUGUAGAGCUCUGUGUAUGUGUGUGUCUUUGUCUCUAUUUUAUUACAUUAAAAUAAGGAUGAGGAUAAAGUGCCUGGAAAGCCGGGAAAGUAGUUCACUGGGUUGCCCCAGCCGGUGGUUUCCUGGCAAGCUGAUGUCUGAGUAACAACGCCCCACUUGAACCAGCAGCUCCCCCCAUUAACCACGUACACUGACAGGGUUCAAACACCGGGAAGUGGCAGCACGGCUGCAGGACCACUGUAGCCUUCCUAACGAUGCGGGUGAUGUGGUCUCUCGCUCCUGGGCAGAAUGGAAAAUGGAGAAGAAAGCCCCCAAUCGGUGUGCGGAGGUGCCACCUUCAACAAAGAAAUCCUGCCAUUCCAAACUGUCGAGACCUUUAAAAAUAAAAGAUGUGCUGUAUUUCCAGCACUAUUCAGUAUUCAUGAGGCUUCGCAGCUUGUUGUAAGGCAAGAUGAAAACAAUACUCAGUAGAUUUUCAUAAGUGACAUGUAACUGUAAGAUUGAUAGAUGAUGCAGUUUUAAUGUAUGUGAAGUUCAAAACCAACAUAAAAGCUGCAAGGCACCUGAACACUGCAUUCCAAACCCACAUUUCUCCCAGUGAUGAGUCCCAGCUCCCCCCUCCCCCCGCAACUCUUCUGUGUGGACAAAACCCAAAGCAGGCUCACCCUAAGGAGGGGCGGAUUUCUACUGAGCCCCCCAAGGACAAAGUCGGGGAUGUUUUUGUUGACAUAGCAGGCGUUCUUGUGUACACUGUCCCCUCCACAUUAACAUGAUGGGUCAUGAAUGGUUAAAUAUCUCCACUUACUUCUGCUAAUCAAUGCCAAGGACAGUGGUUAACACUUCUGGGGGUUCAGGAGCACAGAAGGUCAGCCACAUUGCUAGGUGCUCCCUGAAAUGUCCUUGCUUUAUAGUUCAUAGCUUACUGGCCACUGUAGGUUUGCUCUAUAUUACACACACACACACAUACACACCUGCACACACACAUAUAUAGUUAUAAAUUAUAUGCUAUUAAAUAUCAUAUGCCAUAAUAGUUGUAGUCUACGUGUAGUGUAUAUAAUAUAUGCAGCUAACUAUGUAUGUUAUCUUUAAACACAAUGUACAGAAAAUACAGGGUUUUAAGAAUUUUCACAGCCAGCCUCAGUCAAGCAGUGUUUGUGUCUAUCCUUUUCCCAUGAAUGUCCGGGAGUGGAACAUUAGAAAGAGUUAAACUCUGUCUCUUCACUUUGAACCCUCCUUUCUUUUUGUCUCAUCACUUGUUGCCAACAUCAAUUGAACAUUAGGACCUGCCAGGCUGUGAGCAGGAAGUGCUAUAAGGAAAGCUGAUGUGGACACAAAGGGAUGACACGUGCUAAAGAGAAAUACGCGUACAUGCCAGCAGGCACACGUACACACCCAGUGGUUUCUAUAUUGAUAAGCUUUCGCUUUUUCAUUUUUUUUUUUUUUUCAUUCUCAUUGAGAGCAGGAGACUUGGUUUCUGUUUUUAUUUUGCUUUGGUUCCGGUCUAGUUAAUAUGAAGUGAGUAAGAUUAGAAAGAGAUCAUUAAAAUAGCACAAUAGCAGCAGUGAUUCCAUGAGG
Molecule: long non-coding RNA, 4759 nt
Filed under: Sus scrofa (pig)
Lineage: Eukaryota; Metazoa; Chordata; Mammalia; Artiodactyla; Suidae
Description: lncRNA (ENSSSCG00065051201.1)
Source: RNAcentral